GGAUAAGUACUGAAAGCAUCUAAGUACGAAGCCGCCCCUGAAAAGAGAUAUCAUAGA
Molecule: ribosomal RNA, 57 nt
Filed under: Candidatus Woesearchaeota archaeon
Lineage: Archaea; Nanobdellati; Candidatus Woesearchaeota
Description: partial 23S ribosomal RNA
Source: RNAcentral